GUUACCACAAUAUUUCCCCUGGAUUUGGAGAGUUGCUGAAGCAUAUAUGGUUUGAAUUGUAGAAUACAAAUUUCCCAUACAAUAAUACAAGACCCUGACUGUGAUGAUGGCUGAGUAUUGAGAUGGUGUAUUUCCAGAGUUAGUGGAAUGACCAAGCAUACCUUCUCGGUCAUUUGUGGUGAUAAUAAUGAAGAUUCUAUUUGGACCUGAAACAUCUGCUAAACUCCUGGAGAGGUGGUAUCAAUACCUGAAAGGGACUAUCAAGUUGAAUCUGCCAAGAGUCAAGUUGUGGAUUAUCACGUAGAUUUUUAAAAGUCAUGCCUCCAUCCCUCCUCUUGAAGAGUUCUUAGAUGAGCGUCAGCUACCCUAUAUCCUUGCAUCAGGAACCACCACACAAGCGAUAAGCAGCUACCACAUCAUCAUGCUGUGACUACUACUACAAAGGACAUCCUGUGGCUGGGAAGCAUAUCAUUCACAGGACAUGCUUGAUGAGACUUCCUAGGUCCAGUUUGUUCUCAUACAAGUUUACAGCAUUUAUACCACCAUUCAGACUGCUGUCUUUGAUAUUGAUGACCCGGAAAAAACAGAAGUGAAAGAUUUGCAAGCCAAGUUGUUCUUUUGAGUUUAAAAUCUAAUUUCAGAAGAA
Danio aesculapii is the source of this 646-nucleotide long non-coding RNA. RefSeq lists it as uncharacterized. NCBI's taxonomy places the organism in Eukaryota, Metazoa, Chordata, Actinopteri, Cypriniformes, Danionidae. The record is from RefSeq and is a predicted model, not a curated record. The transcript has 5 exons.